This 497-nucleotide ribosomal RNA is filed under the name uncultured bacterium. Its description in RNAcentral is "partial 16S ribosomal RNA". It matches the Rfam family "Bacterial small subunit ribosomal RNA", at positions 28 to 507 of the family's 1533-position model. The record is from RNAcentral.
GACGAACGCUGGCGGCGUGCCUAAUACAUGCAAGUUGAGCGCUGAAGGUUGGUACUUGUACCAACUGGAUGAGCAGCGAACGGGUGAGUACCGCGUGGGUAAUCUGCCUUUGAGCGGGGGACAACAUUUGGAAACGAAUGCUAAUACCGCAUAAAAACUUUAAACACAAGGUUUAAGUGUGAAAGACGCAAUUGCAUCACCCAAAGAUGAUCCCGCGUUGUAUUAGCUAGUUGGGGAGGGAAAGGCCCAACAAGGCGAUGAUACAUAGCCGGCCUGAGAGGGUGAUCGGCCACACUGGGACUGAGACACGGCCCAAACUCCUAAGGGAGGGAGCAGUAGGGAAUCUUCGGGAAUGGACGAAAGUCUGAACGAGCAACGCCGCGGGAGUGAAGAAGGGUUUCGGAUCGUAAAAAUCUGUUGGUAGAGAAGAAAGUUGGUGAGAGUGGAAAGCUCAUCAAGUGACGGUAACUAACCAGAAAGGGACGGCUAACUACGUG